GCCCUCAUCUGAGGUGACGGGAAAGGGCCGGGAAAUUUCCACUUCUGAAUAAAAUGACUGCUGAAGUGAUGACCCGCAAGAAUUGGUCAAAUUUGGAGUAGACUUCACCCUGCGCUUGGUGAAACUUCUACGUCAAGGAUGCAAGAGGCGCCGAAGUAACGCAGCUCCCACCUGUCGCUCUCCGCUGGGCGCCGAGACUAUGGCCGGAGAAUAGCUGCACCGGGAUUGGAGAAAGGAAGCCAUCAGUCUUAGGAAGGCUCCACCUUCCUGCCAUUGCCUGGUUGGAGGAGCGUAGCGUCAGUCACUAGAGCAGUCACCACCUCUGGGACAGGAUUCCCAACCAGGGAGAGCCACAGCG
RNAcentral lists this long non-coding RNA (358 nucleotides) under Homo sapiens (human). Its description in RNAcentral is "non-protein coding lnc-HBEGF-2:7". The record is from RNAcentral. Lineage: Eukaryota; Metazoa; Chordata; Mammalia; Primates; Hominidae.